UUAAAAUAGUGGUGUCAAAAGAAGUGAGAGCAGGGCUUUCAGCAAUGGUCGAUUUGAUAGUCUGAAAACUAACCUUGCAGGAUGCAUCCCAGUUAAAUGUACCGCCUCUGAAGGUACCUCUACUAGUCCCUCUACAAAAGGACAGCUUGGGCCAAGGUCACGAAUCUAAGGGAAAGGACACAAGGGCUCUCAUUUUGGUGUCUCUCAGCUAUGUGGAGAACAGCAACUGGACCGGAGGAGUCAGAGGGAUGAAGAACUGGAAGAUUGUAGGGCAAAAACACUGAUGGGAAAAGCACUCUCCAUACUCACCUGGAGUUUUAGCAGCUGCAUAGAGCCUACCAGAUUAGCCCUGCCCCUGGAGUCUUUGGAGGAGGUGGUAUAUACAGAAGACCCUCAAGACUUUCAUGUUCUCACAAGCUUUUAGUUAGAAUUUUAAUAAUUUUAAUAAUUUGU
Molecule: long non-coding RNA, 453 nt
Organism: Hemicordylus capensis (graceful crag lizard)
Lineage: Eukaryota; Metazoa; Chordata; Lepidosauria; Squamata; Cordylidae
Exons: 2
Source: RefSeq, a predicted model, not a curated record